UGACCACCUCCCCUUAACUUCCAGGCUCACUAGUCCCUGGCUGCAAAUGCCUUCGAUGCCACAAGCAAGAGGAGAGAUGUGGAGUGGGGACCGUCCAUCCCCAUGACCUGGCACCCCCUCGUCGAAGCUGUGCCCCUUUGGGUGCCCAGGGUCCUGCCAGAGCUCAGCCAGGGGCUCAAAGGUGUCCCCUUUGCCUUGCUGAUCCCCUCACUUCUGGGCUGGAACAUGGAAAUGACUCACUUUACAGAUGAGGGAACUGAGGCACAGAAUGGGGAAGAGUCUUGCCUGAAUUAUGCAGACCUGGCUCCUACUGGCUCAGAGAGAGGGGGCUGUUAAAGGCUCAUGGAUUUUGCAAGCCCGAUUUCAUUGGCGCUUUGAACUCAGCUGCAAGUGCAGCCGGUGGUGAAACAUUUACCAGCUCACCACUGACUGGAGGCCAGCCACAGCUUUUAGGGACAGUGUCUCUAGAAGGGUCCCUAGCUUAGAAAGUUGCAGAGAUUUGCAAGACCGCACCCUCGUCUCCAGAUCUGUCACGGAUCUGAGGCUGACGCCAAAGCCAAAGAAAUUUCUUCCUUCUCUCGUGAUGCCAACAGCUAGCUUCUCUCUCUACUCCACCAUAAUAACAUCCCAUCCUGUGCAAGAAGACUGUCCCGGCUGUCCCUUGGGGCAGGGAUUAAAGGUAUGACAGGGUUCAGAGCGCCUGGCCAGCUUGCCCUAACCUCUGACACCGUGUGAUCAAUUCCAUAAAUAUUUACC
This is a long non-coding RNA of Herpailurus yagouaroundi (jaguarundi), 756 nucleotides long. RefSeq lists it as uncharacterized. NCBI's taxonomy places the organism in Eukaryota, Metazoa, Chordata, Mammalia, Carnivora, Felidae. The record is from RefSeq and is a predicted model, not a curated record. The transcript is spliced from 3 exons.